AAUCAACGCUGGCGGCGUGCCUCAGACAUGCAAGUCGAACGAUUAAAGCUCUCUUCGGAGAGUGUAUAGAGUGGCGCACGGGUGAGUAACACGUAAGUAAUCUACCCUCGAGUGGGGAAUAACAACCGGAAACGGUUGCUAAUACCGCAUAAUGCAGCGGCACCGCAAGGUGACAGUUGUUAAAGAUUUAUCGCUUGAGGAGGAGCUUGCGGCGGAUUAGCUAGUUGGUAGGGUAACGGCUUACCAAGGCUACGAUCUGUAACCGGUCUAAGAGGACGGUCGGUCACACUGACACUGAAUAACGGGUCAGACUCCUACGGGAGGCAGCAGUCGGGAAUUUUGGGCAAUGGGCGAAAGCCUGACCCAGCAACGCCGCGUGAAGGAUGAAGUAUUUCGGUAUGUAAACUUCGAAAGAAUAGGAAGAAUUAAUGACGGUACUAUUUAUAAGGUCCGGCUAACUACGUGCCAGCAGCCGCGGUAAAGUACAGUGU
Molecule: ribosomal RNA, 491 nt
Filed under: uncultured bacterium
Lineage: Bacteria
Description: bacterial SSU rRNA
Rfam family: Bacterial small subunit ribosomal RNA
Source: RNAcentral